UACAGAGGUCCCAAGCGUUGUUCGGAAUCACUGGGCGUAAAGGGCGCGCAGGCUGUUAUGCGAGUCUGCUGUGAAAUGUACCGGCUCAACCGGUGCCUUGCGGCGGAUACUGCAUAGCUUGAGGGCAGGAGAGGGAAGUGGAAUUCCCGGUGUAGCGGUAAUAUGCGCAGAUAUCGGGAGGAACACCAGUGGCGAAGGCGGCUUCCUGGCCUGUUCCUGACGCUGAGACGCGAAAGCCAGGGUAGCGAACGGGAUUA
This 257-nucleotide ribosomal RNA is filed under the name uncultured prokaryote. RNAcentral describes it as "partial 16S ribosomal RNA". It matches the Rfam family "Bacterial small subunit ribosomal RNA", at positions 524 to 780 of the family's 1533-position model. The record is from RNAcentral.